RNAcentral lists this ribosomal RNA (465 nucleotides) under Vreelandella stevensii. RNAcentral's name for it is "partial 16S ribosomal RNA". It matches the Rfam family "Bacterial small subunit ribosomal RNA", at positions 338 to 795 of the family's 1533-position model. Lineage: Bacteria; Pseudomonadati; Pseudomonadota; Gammaproteobacteria; Oceanospirillales; Halomonadaceae. The record is from RNAcentral.
CCUACGGGUGGCAGCAGUGGGGAAUAUUGGACAAUGGGCGAAAGCCUGAUCCAGCCAUGCCGCGUGUGUGAAGAAGGCCUUCGGGUUGUAAAGCACUUUCAGUGGGGAAGAAAGCCUUGGGGCUAAUACCCUCGAGGAAGGACAUCACCCACAGAAGAAGCACCGGCUAACUCCGUGCCAGCAGCCGCGGUAAUACGGAGGGUGCGAGCGUUAAUCGGAAUUACUGGGCGUAAAGCGCGCGUAGGCGGUCUGAUAAGCCGGUUGUGAAAGCCCCGGGCUCAACCUGGGAACGGCAUCCGGAACUGUCAGGCUAGAGUGCAGGAGAGGAAGGUAGAAUUCCCGGUGUAGCGGUGAAAUGCGUAGAGAUCGGGAGGAAUACCAGUGGCGAAGGCGGCCUUCUGGACUGACACUGACGCUGAGGUGCGAAAGCGUGGAUAGCAAACAGGAUUAGAUACCCGAGUAGUC